This 2099-nucleotide long non-coding RNA is filed under the name Homo sapiens (human). RNAcentral's name for it is "non-protein coding lnc-HJURP-12:1". Lineage: Eukaryota; Metazoa; Chordata; Mammalia; Primates; Hominidae. The record is from RNAcentral.
AAAAAGACGAACUAUUGGAGGUGGUGGCCAAUGAUGCAUUUACUGUUUGCAGGAUAGUUAAAGGUGUUUAAAGGGUAAGGCUUUUGGUGUAAAUGCUGGAUGGGGUGUGUGUGUGUGUGGAUAUAGGGACCUCCCUCUGUACUGUGUACUGUGUAAUCGGCAUUAAUACCUAGACUCAUAUGUAUGGAAUUUUAAAUUCUCUUAGCCUACUGAUUGGUUUGGAUGAGCACACCAGCUGCAGGUGUGUGCUGAAUUGCAAGAUGGUAUUUUUUUUUUUAACCAAGGGAUGUCUCUUGUAAUACUAACCGCGUGAUAAUGGGUUUUCAGACAUGAUGAAAAAAAAAAACUUUUACAAAUGAAUACUUACCUUAGAAAUAUUCACCUUAGGAAAAAAGACUUUGCUCUGCCCUUUUAUAUUCCUUUAUGCUGCAAGUGGUGACAUGUUCAGAUUUCUAAUUUGGUUCAUUGUGGCCUAUCUGGUUUAAGUCUUUCAUUAAAAAUGUCUCGUUAGAGUAUUUGAUGUCAUGCACCAAAAAAAUAAAACCCCACCUUGUUGCAAAAGCUGACCUCGUUGCAUGGAAUUAAAAGAGAAGGAAAAACACAAGGAUGAAGUCUUUCCGAAUUCAUUCUUGUGGGAACUGGCCUUCGGAGCCAGCCAGCACUUUGGGCAAAUGCAAACAACAAUGAGUGCUUGAGAUAAAAGAAAGUGUGACGUCAUGGUCACUGGUACUCAGGCACUUCACAGUUUACUUGAAAGAGGCUUUGGAAAAUAGAUAAAGUGAAAGAAGAAUAAAUACAUAUUUUUAAUAAUGUAAUUUUAAAAAUCCUUUAUAAUCAGGACUGAGUCUUGGUUUGCAGAAGCUGUCACUUACCCUGAAACACAGUAUCAAAAGGGAAACUUAAAACAUACUGUUUGAUUUUUUUAUUUCCUCUUACAAUCCAUGUUUUCAGGUAGAAUUAUGACUUUCCCCCCAUUGUUACACAUUUCUUUACAAAGGAGGCCUGUAGAAAUUGGACACGAUCAUGCUUGAGCAUGUGAGUUAGUCAAAUUAUGAGUCCCUGCCUAUUGUCCAUUACACACCGAAUGUUAAUUUAAGAACCAGAGGCAGAAGUUCUGGCUUCCUGCUUGAAACCCAAUUCUUAUAUGAAAUUUUUUAAAAGCAGAAACCUAGCAGCCCAUCUGCUUUUUCUCUUUUGUCGGUGUAUUUGGUACCCCUCCAAUGCUGGUCUUUUUGUAGAAACUCAGUAGAGAAAGUCUAGCUAAGCAGUGUUGAAAAGCCUGCAAGAUUUCAGUUUACAUAUCGACAGCAUAUCCACUGAUUUCUAAAUGGGCUGGUCCCAUCAUCUGAAGAUUCUGUAUAGAAUUAUUAAAAAAAAAAUCCAUCUUUCUUUAUUUUCUUCACAUGCGACAAUUUCUUAAGCACUUUGACAUUUUGGUAGUUCCACACUAUUGAGAGAAUAAUAUAUUUAUUUUGUGACAUUGCAGAUGCCAAAUACUGUAACCUUCUCAUGAUAACAAUACUUAGGUUCAAGAUCACUGUUCAAACCCUGUCAUGCUUUAAAACUGAUGCGAGAUGAUUUUGUUUUUUGCAUAAUCAAUACUUAAGGGUGCAAUCAACUGUUAGUAAUUGUGCAGUAAAGUAAAGCCCUGUGGUGUAUCAACUACUAGUUAAGAGUCUCAGUUGAUUUCUGUAAUGUUUGACCUAAUAAUAGCCCGUUUCGUCUCUGACCCAACAGAGGAAGCACAGAUCAAAUCACCUUGGAGUGGUCACCAGGGGGACAGGGAGCCCCCCACCAAUGUAUCAAUGGGUGAUUUAUGAUGCCUUCUGCCCUUUGGCGAGUGAAUGGGUUUCCCAUAGGGGAAGUUGGCCUCCCUCCGUGAGCUUUGGAAAUGUUUUCUAAUAGACACAGGGAGGCCAGUUCUGUUUCAGAGCAAUUAUCUUCCCAAAUUCUCUGUUCUGGUGUUGGAACUGUGUGCCCUGGUUUCUGUUUUCCUUUCUACUGCUGUAAUUCUCUGUCUCAUCAUCCUUCUCUUUUGUUUCCAUAGCCUUUUAUAAUGCAUAUAUGAUGCUGUGAACAGAAAUAAAUUAUUUAUACAA